GACGAACGCUGGCGGCGCGCUUAACACAUGCAAGUCGAACGGAAAGGCCUGCUUUCCCUUGUGGAUUGCGGGUACUCGAGUGGCGAACGGGUGAGUAACACGUGAGUGAUCUGCCCCCAACUUGGGUAUAAGCCUGGGAAACUGGGUCUAAUUCCCGAUAGGACUGCAGGGUGGUGCCUGUGGUGGAAAACGAUUUUCUAGUGGUUGGGGAUGAGCUCGCGGCCUAUCAGCUUGUUGGUGGGGUAAUGGCCUACCAAGGCGGCGACGGGUAGCCGGCCUGAGAGGGUGGACGGCCACAUUGGGACUGAGAUACGGCCCAGACUCCCACGGGAGGCAGCAGUGGGGAAUAUUGCACAAUGGGCGGAAGCCUGAUGCAGCGACGCCGCGUGGGGGAUGACGGCCUUCGGGUUGUAAACUCCUUUCGACCGCGAGGAAGCCACCUGGUUGGAAGGGUGGUGACGGUAGUGGUAGAAGAAGCACCGGCUAACUACGUG
This 494-nucleotide ribosomal RNA is filed under the name uncultured bacterium. RNAcentral describes it as "partial 16S ribosomal RNA". It matches the Rfam family "Bacterial small subunit ribosomal RNA", at positions 28 to 507 of the family's 1533-position model. The record is from RNAcentral.